This 135-nucleotide small nucleolar RNA is filed under the name Chinchilla lanigera (long-tailed chinchilla). RNAcentral describes it as "Small nucleolar RNA SNORA70 (ENSCLAG00000019618.1)". It matches the Rfam family "Small nucleolar RNA SNORA70". From Rfam's summary of the family: snoRNA U70 seems to be exclusive to mammals and is a member of the H/ACA class of snoRNA which contain H (ANANNA) and ACA box motifs. Lineage: Eukaryota; Metazoa; Chordata; Mammalia; Rodentia; Chinchillidae. The record is from Rfam by way of RNAcentral.
CUGCAACUGAUUAAGCUGACUAGGUUCCUUUGCUAAUGGGUGCACAGUGCGCAGUGGCUGUGGACAGCAACCUCUUCAGUAGUGUACACAAGCUGUUGCUCAUAUGGGCUGCCCUAAGAGACCUUGGAGACACUC